This 405-nucleotide ribosomal RNA is filed under the name uncultured prokaryote. Its description in RNAcentral is "bacterial SSU rRNA". It matches the Rfam family "Bacterial small subunit ribosomal RNA", at positions 355 to 774 of the family's 1533-position model. The record is from RNAcentral.
UGGGGAAUAUUGGGCAAUGGGCGAAAGCCUGACCCAGCAACGCCGCGUGAAGGAAGAAGGUUUUCGGAUUGUAAACUUCUGUCCUCAGGGAAGAAAAAAAUGACGGUACCUGAGGAGGAAGCCCCGGCUAACUACGUGCCAGCAGCCGCGGUAAUACGUAGGGGGCAAGCGUUGUCCGGAAUGACUGGGCGUAAAGGGCGCGUAGACGGCUGUCUAAGUCUGGAGUGAAAGUCCUGCUUUCAAGGUGGGAAUUGCUUUGGAGACUGGAUGGCUUGAGUGCGGAAGAGGUAAGUGGAAUUCCCAGUGUAGCGGUGAAAUGCGUAGAGAUUGGGAAGAACACCAGUGGCGAAGGCGACUUACUGGGCCGUAACUGACGUCGAUGUGCGAAAGCGUGGGGAGCGAACA